UGUGUCAUCACUUCUUCAUCCCUCUUCACCCCCAAUUUUCAUCUCUAAACCCUCACCCCACCCCACCCCACCCCACCCUACAGUCACCGUUCCACCAUCACGCCACCGCCAUAUCCGGCCACCGAACACAUCUCCACACUCCUUUAACCCUUUCCCCCACAACUAAGCCAAAAACCCCCAUUUCCCAACAGAGACCGUCAUCAUCUCCGAUCGGCUCGCACCACCAUUGAUAAACGGCGGAUACUGGUCACUAUUCCGACGUAACACGGCGGCACGCGACGGUGCUAUCGGCGGUAACCCUAGGAGGUCGACAGCUGCCCCUAGCAUCGGUGACUUGGGUUUGAUUUUGGUGUCGAACAACCAACAUCGGUGGCGUCGGCGAUGGCGGAUGUGGGGGGAGAGGAUCGGCAGAAACGAUCAGCAGCGGUGGAACCCUACAAAGACCUAUCGAGAAAGAAAGGAAAAGGAGACAGCACAAAUCGAGAACCAAAGGAAAUGAAUGGUAGAUUUGAAAAAUUAAAGAGAAGGGGAAUGAGGGAGAAACCGUUUUAGAGGGAGGGAGAGAGAGAAGCAGAGAAGAAGAAGAAGGCCGACCAUGGUCUCCGACCGGCCGGCCAUCCUGUUCUGGUUAUGGUAGUUGUGGUGGUGGUUACUGGUGACAUUGAGGGCUUCAUUGGGCGCCAUCGGUGGUUGUGAUUGGCGAUGUUAUUAAUUAAUGGUGUUGAUGGCCGUGGUUCCGAACAAGGGAUGUGGUGGUUGUCGACGGUGAGCAGCGUCAGUGGUGGAUGUAGUCAGAGACGGUGACGAUGGUUAGGGUUUAACAUUGUCGCUUGCGAGUGUAGCAGAAAAGAACGGCGGCUACGAUCUGUUUAUGAGUUCCGAAAAUGGUGGUUACAAUGGUCACACUUUUCGUCUGAGAUGAUUAGAACAGAUGGCGUCAACGUUAAGAUGGUUCGGGUGUGGAAGAUCUGGUUACUUCUGUCGGCCGUAACAAUCGGCGCUACGGUUACUUCUGUCGUUUUCAUCUUAGAUAAGAAGCAGUAUACUUCCAAGAUUUGGGGAGCUUCCACACAAUGAGCUGUUGUGGGUGACACAGUCUCUUGGGUAUGUUUUUCAUGAGUCAGUCAUUCACCAUAAGAGGGAUGUUGACUGCAAACAUAAUUAUUUCAGGGGGUUAUGACUACAUGUAUUUGGUGAGAAUGAUGAAUAUGAAACGGUGACAUGUAUGCUGGCGCCUGCUUUGUAGACAAAAUGCAUGGUGUUGGUAUAUACAACUUUGCAAAUGGACGUUGGUAUGGUGCAUAGAACUUUAUAUAUAGAUGGUGUUGGUGGAUCAAUGAUAACGAGUAGGACCGUGUCGGCGUCGCUAUGAUUCCGGUCUAUAAUAGCAUAUAAUGGAUCUGCAAAGACGUUUAGUUUGACUGAUAUUGAGAAAGCAACCGACAAUUUCAAUGAAUCAGGAGUUCUAGGUGAAGGUGGACUUGGGCAUGUUUAUAGUGGCAUUCUUGUAGACGGAACAAAAAUGGCGGUUAAAGUACCUAAAUGUGACGAUCAAGAAGGCGGUCGAGAGUUCUUGGCUGAAGUUGAGAUGCUCAACCGGUUGCCCAUAAAAACUUGGUUCGGUUGAUUGGGAUAUGCACAGACGAAAGAACCCGGUAUUUGGUUUAUCAGUUUAUGACAAAUGGGAGUGUUGAAUCCCAUCUUCACAAUAAUUUUAUGCAACAUGUUUUGCAAAUUCGGGUUUAGGGAAUGUUUGGGAUAAGGAAACCCCACCAUUGGAUUGGGAGGCUCGCUUGAAGAUAGCAUUAGGUGUAGCCCGUGGGGCGUGGGCUACCUUACCUUACCAUCAAAGUAUAUUCAACGAUUCGGUUUAACGUGCGCCUAGCGCGCCGCAACGCGCGCUUGGUAUAAACCUAGUUAUAUGAAUUUACCAAGUUAUUCAAUAUCCUAUUGUUUAACCAAA
This is a long non-coding RNA of Helianthus annuus (common sunflower), 1963 nucleotides long. RefSeq lists it as uncharacterized. The transcript has 6 exons. The record is from RefSeq and is a predicted model, not a curated record. Lineage: Eukaryota; Viridiplantae; Streptophyta; Magnoliopsida; Asterales; Asteraceae.